UAUGAAAUGAAAUGAAUGUCGCUCUGGAUAAGAGCGUCUGCUAAAUGACUAAAA
Non-coding RNA from Salmo salar (Atlantic salmon), 54 nucleotides. The record is from Rfam. NCBI's taxonomy places the organism in Eukaryota, Metazoa, Chordata, Actinopteri, Salmoniformes, Salmonidae.